UUAUUGAGGAGGGAGAAUGGCUUACGUACACGUAUCAGCCCCUGUAUGUGAAAGGCCUAGCCAGCGAGUUUCUUCUGCAGUCUUUAAUCCUGCUCCCAGCAGUUUCUGGAUUGGGACUAGGAAUUUGAGGGGGCAGUGACUGGCAGAGGGAGCAAGUGCCAGCA
This is a long non-coding RNA of Gavialis gangeticus (Gharial), 164 nucleotides long. RefSeq lists it as uncharacterized. NCBI's taxonomy places the organism in Eukaryota, Metazoa, Chordata, Crocodylia, Gavialidae. The record is from RefSeq and is a predicted model, not a curated record. The transcript is spliced from 3 exons.